UACGGAGGAUGCGAGCGUUAUCCGGAUUUACUGGGUGUAAAGGGUGCGUAGACGGGAAAUUAAGUUAGUUGUGAAAUCCCUCGGCUUAACUGAGGAACUGCAACUAAAACUGAUUUUCUUGAGUACUGGAGAGGUGAGUGGAAUUCCUAGUGUAGCGGUGGAAUGCGUAGAUAUUAGGAGGAACACCAGAGGCGAAGGCGACUCACUGGACUGUAACUGACGCUGAGGCUCGAAAGCGUGGGGAGCAAACAGG
This 253-nucleotide ribosomal RNA is filed under the name uncultured Eubacteriales bacterium. RNAcentral's name for it is "uncultured Clostridiales bacterium partial 16S ribosomal RNA". It matches the Rfam family "Bacterial small subunit ribosomal RNA", at positions 524 to 776 of the family's 1533-position model. Lineage: Bacteria; Bacillati; Bacillota; Clostridia; Eubacteriales. The record is from RNAcentral.